RNAcentral lists this transfer RNA (76 nucleotides) under Thermosipho atlanticus DSM 15807. RNAcentral's name for it is "tRNA_Thr_TGT". It matches the Rfam family "tRNA". Rfam says of the family: Transfer RNA (tRNA) molecules are approximately 80 nucleotides in length. Their secondary structure includes four short double-helical elements and three loops (D, anti-codon, and T loops). Lineage: Bacteria; Thermotogati; Thermotogota; Thermotogae; Thermotogales; Fervidobacteriaceae. The record is from RNAcentral. RNAcentral also lists the same sequence under 2 other names.
GCCAGCGUAGCUCAACCGGGAGAGCGAUUGAUUUGUAAUCAAUAGGUUGAGGGUUCGAGUCCCUCCGCUGGCUCCA